RNAcentral lists this ribosomal RNA (560 nucleotides) under uncultured bacterium. RNAcentral's name for it is "bacterial SSU rRNA". It matches the Rfam family "Bacterial small subunit ribosomal RNA", at positions 337 to 916 of the family's 1533-position model. RNAcentral also lists the same sequence under 1 other name. The record is from RNAcentral.
UCCUACGGGAGGCAGCAGUGGGGAAUAUUGCACAAUGGGCGAAAGCCUGAUGCAGCAACGCCGCGUGAGCGAUGAAGGCCUUCGGGUCGUAAAGCUCUGUCCUCAAGGAAGAUAAUGACGGUACUUGAGGAGGAAGCCCCGGCUAACUACGUGCCAGCAGCCGCGGUAAUACGUAGGGGGCUAGCGUUAUCCGGAAUUACUGGGCGUAAAGGGUGCGUAGGUGGUUUCUUAAGUCAGAGGUGAAAGGCUACGGCUCAACCGUAGUAAGCCUUUGAAACUGGGAAACUUGAGUGCAGGAGAGGAGAGUGGAAUUCCUAGUGUAGCGGUGAAAUGCGUAGAUAUUAGGAGGAACACCAGUUGCGAAGGCGGCUCUCUGGACUGUAACUGACACUGAGGCACGAAAGCGUGGGGAGCAAACAGGAUUAGAUACCCUGGUAGUCCACGCCGUAAACGAUGAGUACUAGCUGUCGGAGGUUACCCCCUUCGGUGGCGCAGCUAACGCAUUAAGUACUCCGCCUGGGAAGUACGCUCGCAAGAGUGAAACUCAAAGGAAUUGACGG